RNAcentral lists this transfer RNA (76 nucleotides) under Fusarium pseudograminearum. RNAcentral describes it as "tRNA-Thr (AGT) (tRNA-Thr-AGT-4-1)". It matches the Rfam family "tRNA". From Rfam's summary of the family: Transfer RNA (tRNA) molecules are approximately 80 nucleotides in length. Their secondary structure includes four short double-helical elements and three loops (D, anti-codon, and T loops). RNAcentral also lists the same sequence under 4 other names. Lineage: Eukaryota; Fungi; Ascomycota; Sordariomycetes; Hypocreales; Nectriaceae. The record is from RNAcentral.
GCCGCGUUGGCUCAGUGGGUGGUAGAGCGUGUCACUAGUAAUGACAAGGUCCAAGGUUCGAUCCCUUGACGUGGCA